AGACCGAUAGCGAACAAGUACUGUGAAGGAAAGAUGAAAAGAACUUUGAAAAGAGAGUGAAAAAGUACGUGAAAUUGUUGAAAGGGAAGGGUAUUCGAUCAGACUGGUAUUUAAUUAUCGCUACUCCUUGUGGGUGGUGCUCUAAUUUCUUACUGGGCCAACAUCAGUUUUGGUGGUAAGAUAAUCGCAGUUGAAUGUGGCUCCUCGGAGUGUUAUAGCUUCUGUUGAUGUUACCUACCGGGACUGAGGUCUGCGACUUUGUCUAGGAUGUUGGCGUAAUGAUCCAAUACCGCCCGUCUUGAAACACGGACCAAG
This 315-nucleotide ribosomal RNA is filed under the name [Candida] sp. Car95-Y14. Its description in RNAcentral is "LSU rRNA". It matches the Rfam family "Eukaryotic large subunit ribosomal RNA", at positions 331 to 670 of the family's 3401-position model. Lineage: Eukaryota; Fungi; Ascomycota; Saccharomycetes; Saccharomycetales. The record is from RNAcentral.